AACCGUGUUUCGGGAGCCUUAGAGAGGAGACUAAAGUCUUCCAAGGGAGAUCGCGGCUCCACUUUCACCCUGGUACUGAGACGUUGAGCGCAAAAUUGGUAACCAAUGCUGCGCUUCCAGCAAAUUUUCCCACCAGCACCCAAUCCUGGGAUCUUUAUUCUCUUUGUCUCACAUCCUACAGGAAUGCAGUCGCGGGGUAUAUCCUUCUGAAAACCGUACUUUGCCGAAUAAUGAUUUCUUUGGAUUAGAGAACAACUCCCCUCGGUCCUGAGCCGGUAUUUCCCUUUUGCGGCUGCACAGUAGUUAAAAACAAAGCUAAAUGUUCUGGGACGUAUAGUUCUAGCGUUCGUUGGGUCACGCUGGCGAGCGUGGGCUUUCUGCAGAGCGCAACCGGCCUCGUGUGCUUUGCGGACGGUUCGCCGCGCUUGGAAAGGGAUUGGCCUGGAGUACAUCAUCUAAAGAUCCUAGGAUUGCUGCAGGUCAGCAGUCUCCACUGGAAAAAAAGAUAUUGCCUGUAUUUCAAGUCCUCUGAUGAAUCAUGUGAUCUACUAGACCCUGAAGAUACAGUGAAGAGCAAAAGUAAGAUGCUGGCAAUUUGAUGUUUGCACUGUCAUGAAGGAGAUGCACAUUUAGCAGAACUUACAAAGAGAAAUACGAAAUUACUGCUGAGCUAAGUGUCAUGAAGAAAAGUUCAUGGUACCAUGAAAGGAGACAACCAGGAGGUCUAACAGGUCCACUACCACUAUCACUACCACUAUUCUCAAUAAUACCUAAAAGAAAUAAUAAGAUACGGCAUUUAUAAAUGAUGAAUAGGAUUUUAUAAAAUUAUAUACAAUCAGAGAACCAAAAGCACUCUUGGAAAUCAAAAAGUGAUCAUUUAAAUAAGUAUUUCAAUAGACGACUUGGAAGAGUAAAUUUGUACUACCACUAAAUAUUAAAAAUGGAAAAGCAAUGUCAAGAAAGACAGAAGAACUAUACGAAUACUAGGCUAUCAGUCAAGGAUUUUCAGCAACUUAAUAAUACAAAUUCUAAAAGCAUGGAAAGAUAGAAAUUAUUUAAAAUUUAAAAAAUUUCUCCAAGUUUGCAGACAAAAAUUUAACUUGUAAUGGCCCCAACCAAGUUCUUACUAUAGUAGAUGAAAACAGACCCACACCAAGACACAUCACAAUGAAAUUUUAGAAGGUGGGUGGAAAAGAAGAAAUCCCAAAAACAUCAAAAGGCAAGAAAAGCAACAUUGGGAGCUAAAAAAUGUUGAUGGAAUGUCAUGGAAAUUCCUAGGAAAAAUGUUUUCAAUACAGAAUUCCAUACCAAGUCCAGGUUGGAAUAAGUGCUAGGGUAGCCUAAAGACAUUUUCAGAAGCUUAGGCUUUCAGAUUUUACUUUCUGUGUUCCCUGAGGAACACGGAUGAAAUGAGAAACAAAAAUGAUGGAGAAAACCAAAAAAGGGGACACAUGGGAUCCAGGCAAUAGGAGAGCCAGCAUAAGAGAGAGGCAGAGGGAUGCCCAGGAUGAAGUGAAGACCAUCUUGGAAAUCAGCCCAGAUGUGCAUGCACCAGUCCACGUGUGGCAGGACCAAGGGAAGUGUCUUCACAAAGAUGAGGUUGGUAGAACACGGGACAUGGUUUAAUAUAUUCAUGAAGACUGUCUUAGUUCAUUUAUGCUGCUAUAACAGAAUGCCAUAGUCUGAGUCAGUUACGAAGAACAGAAAUUUGUUUUCUCAGUUGUGAAGGCUAGGAAUCCAAGAUCAAGCCAUCAGCAUUUGGCAAGAGCCUUCUUGCUGUGUUUUCACAUGGCAAGUGGGUCAAGGGCAAGAGAGGGGACAGUAUUAUUAUUAUGGGCUCACUCCCACAAUAAUGAUAUUAAUUUAUUCAUGAGGGCUCUGCCCUCAUGAGUCAGACAGCUUCUGUUAGGCCUUACUUUCCAAUAUCUCUGCAUUGGGGAUCAAGUUUCCAACACGUGAACUUUGGGGAACACAUUCAAACUAUAGCAGAGGCCCUGGAGGCAGAUUUGGAAGAGAUUUUAUAAUGAGUACAAUAGAAAUUGAGCACCUGAAGGGAUAAAACAUUUAUUAAUUCCAGGGAAAUUAAAAAGUCAAUUCAAGGAAGGAAAAUAAUCCUUGUGAACAGCAUUUCCUAAUCUAAUUGUGAAUAGCAUUUCCUAGUCUAGCUGUGAAUAGCAUUUCUCUGGUCAUAAUAAUAUAAACAGUGAACACCCAGCUAACCAAAAUUAUAAAAUAACUAUAUUGAGAGGACAGGGGUAUAUGAAAGGGAGCUAUACACUAAGGAUGAUACAUAAGAGUGAAAAACAAAACAGCACUAUAACACACUAUUUGGAGGCACAGAUGUAACUAUCAAAAAAUUAGGCAAAAUAAAUAAAAUAGAUUGCCUCUAGGAUUCAGGAAAUGGUGUACAUGAAAGAUUGGGGACAUCUGGGUUCAUAACAAGCCUUGUAGAAGUAUUUGACUUUUGAAACACUGUCCAUAAAUCCAUUUGAUAUAUUAAAAACAUUAUGAGACAA
This is an RNA transcript of Symphalangus syndactylus (siamang), 2516 nucleotides long. RefSeq lists it as uncharacterized. Lineage: Eukaryota; Metazoa; Chordata; Mammalia; Primates; Hylobatidae. The record is from RefSeq and is a predicted model, not a curated record.